This is a long non-coding RNA of Asparagus officinalis (garden asparagus), 433 nucleotides long. RefSeq lists it as uncharacterized. The transcript has 3 exons. NCBI's taxonomy places the organism in Eukaryota, Viridiplantae, Streptophyta, Magnoliopsida, Asparagales, Asparagaceae. The record is from RefSeq and is a predicted model, not a curated record.
UUGCCUCCAUCCCCUACUAGCGACGAUGUUUUUACACACAUCGUUUUAUGCUUGUCCGGGAAGAUUUUAGCUGAAUUAUUUGAAGAAGUUUUGGACCAAUUAGAUUUAGACGCUGGCGCACAGGCUGGACUUGCUGGAGGAAGCAGUAGUGGCGUGCAGAGGAGGGAACUUAACGAUGCUGAGGACUCUUGAUUUUAUGAGGUGCAUGUGUUUCUUUGAGCUUCUCUAGAGAAAAUAAUGCUCAUGGACCUGGAUAUCGGUUUGUAAAUCGUCGUUGUAUUUUUAAAUCACAACUUUCUUUGUGUUGAGCCCAAAACAAACAGUGAGUUGAUUGAGUUGUGCGGCAAAUUUAUAUGUAUAUGUGUGGCAAAUUUAUAAGUUGGCAGAGAUACUUUAAGAGAGAGAUGAUAUGUAUGAAAAAACAUGUGUGACU